UUGAAAGCCCUGGCACCUGAAAUCCUUUAUUUUUCCACUGAACAGGAACAGUUUGGGUAGCUUCCCUAUGCUGCCCCCUCCAAUAUGCCCCAUCCCUGACCUGGAGGGACCACUUACAGGGUUGAGAACCUCCGCAGCCUCAGGGGUAAUUAGACUAUAACUGCA
RNAcentral lists this small RNA (165 nucleotides) under Chrysemys picta bellii (western painted turtle). RNAcentral's name for it is "TUC338 (ENSCPBG00000025045.1)". The record is from RNAcentral. Lineage: Eukaryota; Metazoa; Chordata; Testudines; Emydidae.